GCCCACAUAGCUCAGUAGGUUAGAGCGCAUCCUUGGUAAGGAUGAGGUCAUCGGUUCAAGUCCGAUUGUGGGCU
This 74-nucleotide transfer RNA is filed under the name bacterium. RNAcentral describes it as "tRNA-Thr". It matches the Rfam family "tRNA". Rfam says of the family: Transfer RNA (tRNA) molecules are approximately 80 nucleotides in length. The record is from RNAcentral.